UACGUAGGGGGCAAGCGUUGUCCGGAAUUAUUGGGCGUAAAGCGCGCGCAGGUGGUGAAUUAAGUUGUGGGUAAAAGGCAAUGGCUCAACCAUUGGUAAGCCUGCAAAACUGGUUCACUUGAGUGCAGGAGAGGGGAGUGGAAUUCCCGGUGUAGCGGUGGAAUGCGUAGAGAUCGGGAGGAACACCAGUGGCGGAAGGCGACUCUCUGGCCUGUAACGUGACACUGAGGCGCGAAAGC
RNAcentral lists this ribosomal RNA (239 nucleotides) under uncultured bacterium. RNAcentral's name for it is "partial 16S ribosomal RNA". It matches the Rfam family "Bacterial small subunit ribosomal RNA", at positions 524 to 760 of the family's 1533-position model. The record is from RNAcentral.